UUCGGGUGUUGUGUUGUUGUGAUCCCAUGUUGAGUUCGGGUGUUGUGUUGUUGCGAUCCCACGUUGUGUUCAGGUGUUGCGUUGCGAUCCCACGUUGUGUUCGGGUGUUGCUGUGUUGGGAUCCGAUGUUACACUGUUGGGAUGGGGCGUUGUGUCAGGAUCCGAUGCCGCCUUCAAGCGUCGCACUGUUGGGAUGGGGUGUUGCUGUGUCGGGAUCCGAUGUGACGCUGUUGGGAU
RNAcentral lists this long non-coding RNA (237 nucleotides) under Numida meleagris (helmeted guineafowl). Its description in RNAcentral is "lncRNA (ENSNMEG00000004092.1)". The record is from RNAcentral. Lineage: Eukaryota; Metazoa; Chordata; Aves; Galliformes; Numididae.